UGGGGAAUAUUGGACAAUGGGCGAAAGCCUGAUCCAGCCAUGCCGCGUGUGUGAAGAAGGUCUUCGGAUUGUAAAGCACUUUAAGUUGGGAGGAAGGGCAGUAAGCGAAUACCUUGCUGUUUUGACGUUACCGACAGAAUAAGCACCGGAUAACUAUGUGCCAGCAGCCGCGGUAAUACAGAGGGUGCAAGCGUUAAUCGGAAUUACUGGGCGUAAAGCGCGCGUAGGUGGUUCGUUAAGUUGAAUGUGAAAGCCCCGGGCUCAACCUGGGAACUGCAUCCAAAACUGGCGAUCUAGAGUAGGGCAGAGGGUGGUGGAAUUUCCUGUGUAGCGGUGAAAUGCGUAGAUAUAGGAAGGAACACCAGUGGCGAAGGCGACCACCUGGGCUCAUACUGACACUGAGGUGCGAAAGCGUGGGGAGCAAACAGG
RNAcentral lists this ribosomal RNA (429 nucleotides) under Pseudomonadota bacterium. Its description in RNAcentral is "Proteobacteria bacterium partial 16S ribosomal RNA". It matches the Rfam family "Bacterial small subunit ribosomal RNA", at positions 355 to 776 of the family's 1533-position model. Lineage: Bacteria; Pseudomonadati; Pseudomonadota. The record is from RNAcentral.